RNAcentral lists this ribosomal RNA (426 nucleotides) under uncultured bacterium. RNAcentral describes it as "bacterial SSU rRNA". It matches the Rfam family "Bacterial small subunit ribosomal RNA", at positions 354 to 796 of the family's 1533-position model. The record is from RNAcentral.
GUGAGGAAUAUUGCCCAAUGGGGGGAACCCUGAGGCAGCAACGCCGCGUGAGGGAUGAAGGCCUUCGGGUUGUAAACCUCUUUUCUGAGGGAAGAGGAAGGACGGUACCUCAGGAAUAAGUCUCGGCUAACUACGUGCCAGCAGCCGCGGUAAAACGUAGGAGGCGAGCGUUAUCCGGAUUUACUGGGCGUAAAGCGCGCGCAGGCGGCUUGACAAGUCGGACGUGAAAGCUCCUGGCUUAACUGGGAGAGGCCGUUCGGAACUGUUGGGCUUGAGGUUGGGAGAGGGGUGUAGAAUUCCCGGUGUAGUGGUGGAAUGCGUAGAUAUCGGGAGGAACACCAGUGGCGAAGGCGGCACCCUGGCCCACACCUGACGCUGAGGUGCGAAAGCGUGGGGAGCAAACAGGAUUAGAAACCCGAGUAGUCC